AUUGAACGCUGGCGGCAUGCCUUACACAUGCAAGUCGGACGAGUGGCGAACGGGUGAGUAACGCCUCGGAACGUACCGAGUAAUGGGGGAUAACUGUCCGAAAGGACAGCUAAUACCGCAUAUUAUUCGAGCGGCCGAUGUCUGAUUAGCUGGUUGGCGGGGUAAAGGCCCACCAAGGCGACGAUCAGUAGCGGGUCUGAGAGGAUGAUCAGCCACACUGGGACUGAGACACGGCCCAGACUCCUACGGGAGGCAGCAGUGGGUAAUUUUGCACAAUGGGCGCAAGCCUGAUGCAGCCAUGCCGCGUGUCUGAAGAAGGCCUUCGGGUUGUAAAGGACUUUUGUCAGGGAAGCGGUACCUGCAGAAUAAGCACCGGCUAACUCCGUGCCAGCAGCCGCGGUAAUAC
Molecule: ribosomal RNA, 406 nt
Filed under: uncultured bacterium
Lineage: Bacteria
Description: partial 16S ribosomal RNA
Rfam family: Bacterial small subunit ribosomal RNA
Source: RNAcentral